GACGAACGCUGGCGGCGUGCUUAACACAUGCAAGUCGAACGGAAAGGCCCUGCUUUUGUGGGGUGCUCGAGUGGCGAACGGGUGAGUAACACGUGAGUAACCUGCCCUUGACUUUGGGAUAACUUCAGGAAACUGGGGCUAAUACCGGAUAGGAGCUCCUGCUGCAUGGUGGGGGUUGGAAAGUUGCGGCGGUUGGGGCUGGACUCGCGGGUUAUCAGCUUGUUGGUGUGGUAGUGGUUUACCAAGGCUUUGACGGGUAGCCGGCCUGAGAGGGUGACCGGCCACAUGGGGACUGAGAUACGGCCCAGAAUCCUAUGGGAGGCAGCAGUGGGGAAUAUUGCAGAAUGGGCGGAAGCGUGAUGCGGAAACGCCGCGUGCGGGAUGACGGCUUUCGAGUUGUAAACCGAUUUCGCCUGUGACGAAGAGUGAGUGACGGUAAUGGGUAAAGAAGCACCGGCUAACUACGUG
This 468-nucleotide ribosomal RNA is filed under the name uncultured bacterium. RNAcentral's name for it is "partial 16S ribosomal RNA". It matches the Rfam family "Bacterial small subunit ribosomal RNA", at positions 28 to 507 of the family's 1533-position model. The record is from RNAcentral.